Molecule: long non-coding RNA, 346 nt
Filed under: Marmota monax (woodchuck)
Lineage: Eukaryota; Metazoa; Chordata; Mammalia; Rodentia; Sciuridae
Source: RNAcentral
UAAGCUCGUGCCGGGUCAGGGUCUGUGGUGCAGGAGCGACCUCAGCAAUCACGUCCCCGCCGUCGCUGGGCCACCUUCCCGAAGAAGGGGGAUGGAGAAGGCCGCCAAGACCCCGUCCCGGAGUCGCCGCCAGGGGGCGUGCGCAGGACAGAGAAAAGUUUCGCGCUUUGACCCCCGGCGCGGCCCGUCGCCCGUCGCUGCGGCGGGAAAAAUCUGACCGGACCGUCUGGGCCACUGCCUCUUUCUGCCUUUGAGCGUCUUCCUGAGCUGGUCCGCGUGAUGGAGGAGGAGGCGGAGGCCGAGGAGCAACAGCGAUUCUCUUACCAGCAGGUACAGCAUAAACCGG